Molecule: long non-coding RNA, 889 nt
Filed under: Nicotiana tabacum (common tobacco)
Lineage: Eukaryota; Viridiplantae; Streptophyta; Magnoliopsida; Solanales; Solanaceae
Description: long non-coding RNA (NTAB_LNC017690)
Source: RNAcentral
UGAUAAUUGAAACCUAAGGUAAAAACUAAGUAUUUUUAAUGAAAUAACAUUUCUGAAAAAUAGUUACAUAUAGUGGCCCUACGUACGUGAGAUCUAGCAACACGCACGGGGGAGUGUCGGCCAAUCUCCCCAGCAAACAAUAGCCCCUACGAGCGUGGGGUAGCUAACCCUGGCCUCGUGGCACUCACGCAAGGUGAGGUCAGCUAGCUCUCCCUUCCUGAAUAUGAUCACAUUAAUGCAUGAAUGAAUGUUAAACUAAAUGAAAAUAUCAUAACAACGUCAACUAAUAAUUGAUAAUAUAUGUAAGCAUAUAAGACUGUCACAUUUUCAUACUACCGAAUAAGAAUAAGAAUAGAGUAAACUGAAUACUGGAGCACAAGGAGACAUAGCAUAGGAAUUUUAUCGAAUAUAUAUAGCACGUGGGUUCUAAUAGAAUUUCCUAUUAGGAGAGAAAUCUUUAAAACUUACCUUGAAUCCAAACUUAAAGAUCUGAUGCAAGAAUUUCAAUACUAAACCAUCGUAGUCCACCGCCAACAUUUGAUUGUUAAUAUGCCUCGACCUCGCGAUUUGUUUCUACCUAAUCCUUCAAGGAUUGCUGGGAUUUUCGUUGUUGACUUGUAAGCUAUCCAUAUCACUUUGUUCCCUUUCAAAAAUUGUCGUGGUGGAAUUUAAGUGACAAGCAUUAGCUAUUCUUCAAAUCCCUAUAAUUUUCCAUCUCAUUCCUACCAAAAGUGAAAUACAAUGAUGUAUAUGUCUCCCCCUAUGCUUCAUGUUUUGAGAAUAACUUACAGUAAAGCUAUUUUACUGUCCUUAUUUGGUAAUCCUUAAGUGGCUGCUAAAACCCUAUUUCUUUUCGUUUCAAUUUCGUGACCUGGCUGCUGUAUUUUCC